RNAcentral lists this ribosomal RNA (427 nucleotides) under uncultured microorganism. Its description in RNAcentral is "bacterial SSU rRNA". It matches the Rfam family "Bacterial small subunit ribosomal RNA", at positions 355 to 774 of the family's 1533-position model. The record is from RNAcentral.
UGGGGAAUUUUGCGCAAUGGGGGAAACCCUGACGCAGCAACGCCGCGUGAGUGAUGAAGGCUUUCGGGUCGUAAAGCUCUGUCAGUGGGGAAGAAAUGGGACUGGCUAAUAUCCAGUCUUCUUGACGGUACCCACAAAGGAAGCACCGGCUAACUCCGUGCCAGCAGCCGCGGUAAUACGGGGGGUGCAAGCGUUGUUCGGAUUUAUUGGGCGUAAAGCGCGUGUAGGCGGUUUCUUAAGUCUGAUGUGAAAGCCCUGGGCUCAACCCAGGAAGUGCAUUGGAAACUGGGAGACUUGAAUACGGGAGAGGGUAGUGGAAUUCCUAGUGUAGGAGUGAAAUCCGUAGAUAUUAGGAGGAACACCGGUGGCGAAGGCGGCUACCUGGACCGAUAUUGACGCUGAGACGCGAAAGCGUGGGGAGCAAACA